RNAcentral lists this ribosomal RNA (253 nucleotides) under uncultured bacterium. Its description in RNAcentral is "partial 16S ribosomal RNA". It matches the Rfam family "Bacterial small subunit ribosomal RNA", at positions 524 to 776 of the family's 1533-position model. The record is from RNAcentral.
UACGUAGGGUGCGAGCGUUAAUCGGAAUUACUGGGCGUAAAGGGCGCGUAGGCGGACAGUUUAGUCGAGGGUGAAAGCCCGGGGCUCAACCUCGGAAUUGCCUUCGAUACCGGCUGUCUUGAGUGCGGGAGAGGUGUGUGGAACUCCGAGUGUAGAGGUGAAAUUCGUAGAUAUUCGGAAGAACACCAGUGGCGAAGGCGACACACUGGCCCGUUACUGACGCUGAGGCGCGAAAGCGCGGGGAGCAAACAGG